Molecule: long non-coding RNA, 3950 nt
Organism: Hippoglossus stenolepis (Pacific halibut)
Lineage: Eukaryota; Metazoa; Chordata; Actinopteri; Pleuronectiformes; Pleuronectidae
Exons: 3
Source: RefSeq, a predicted model, not a curated record
GGGCACAGGCUGCUGUUCAGGGUUAAAAUGGGUAGAAGCAGGUUAAGGUGGGGGUAAGGGGGUAGGAAAUGGAUCGUCAAUGUGUGUUUCCCAGGGGUAUAGUGAAACAAGUUUGUGUGUGUCGGUGUGUGUUUGUGAUCUCUAAAUCGACCUGCACUGCCAUUCAAAUUUACACGUGUAAUAAAACUGUAGUAAAGCUCAGACGCAUUUUCGUAAAUAUCAGCCAUUCUGACAUAAAAUCGUAAGUAAACACAGAUGUUACUUAUCACACGAAUGAAGGUUCCGAUCCAUUUAGGUACCGAGUCUUAUUUAACAUUAUUUACACCAACCAAACUGAGCAAAUCAUCAUGAAGUCCAGAGUUUAUUUAACCAAUGCUGCUGAUCCAAUUCCCCGAUCCCCAUGAAGCCUCAUAUGUUAUGACCGUGGCUCAGGGGGAUGCAACAUUUCUCUGUGUGUCUCCUGCAUAGAGAAGAGAAACAUCUUGAUGAUCUUCCUCCCACUUUGCUGAAUGGUCCUAUGGUUUGAUUAGCAACUAUUCCCAGUGUUCAGUUAGUCAGGAUGUUCUCAUAUCGACCGAGAUAGAAGGUAAGUCUUCUCACAAAAUGGAUCCUCUGCGUCCUUUAGUUUUACAAUUCAAUUCAAUAUACAUUAUCUCAAGGCACUUUAAAAAGAAGGCCAAGACCUUAAAAUUACAGAGAAAUGUCUCAGAUUGGUAAUGUAUUGAUAUAUGUUGUUUAUUGUACAGACAAAUCAUCCGUUCCUCCAUCUAUCCACCUGCUGUGACCUCAGUAAACGGUUGAAUGCCUCUUGGAUCAAUGUGUUGGAAAGGUGCACACCUGUGACCCAGUUUCUUUAAACUACCGGAACAAGUAACAUUCAAAUCAGCACCUUCAGAGUUAGUUGAAGAACAUUUGGCCCCAGGGAACAUGAGAGUAACCAAACCUGCACAGACCUAUACAAGAACACCAUGUACCAAAAGGCAUAAGCAUCAGCUGUGGUGCAGCUGGGGCGAGGGAGACGGAUGAAAAACGUGAGAAAGGCAGUGACUCAUCACAGCUUGCUUCAACACUGCCUCCAUCUGUACUCAUGCAGAGACAUGCCAUCCUGGAUAUACAAAACCAAUCCUAUAGGCGGACUCAUUUAAGUUUCAUCAGGCGGCUCCUGAGCGACUGGGGGAGGGAGUCUACUCAAAUGCAGCCUGAGGGAGGAGAGGAGCUGCUGGUAUCAGCUCGAGCCGCGGCUGACGACAGAGUGGAGCUUCGUCUCAUCUCCCGUCCCUCUGCGCUCCUCCUCAUCAAUUUAUGAGCAAAGUAAAGAGUGUUUAAGUGGUCUGUUUUCCUUAUUACUGCAGAUAAGAGGUCAACAAUCAAACGGCAGGGCCAGGAUAACCUGCUGCAGGGCUCUGGGCAUAUGUAAGCUGAAGUAAUUACUAAGUAAGACUUUCAGUUUAUUUUGUGCUGAAGCUGUCAAGCAAAGUAACUCCGGGAAUAUGAUAUUCCUUAUCGUUCAAGUGAGUUCAUAAACUAGUAUCAGUUUCUGUGUGUAACUGAACAUAUCAUUUGAUAUAUGAUAUGAUCAUGUGAUUUGCAUUGGCAGGGCAGCUGAAACCAUGUUUUCCAGUCAUUGCUCUAUCCUCUUAAUAUCAGUGCAAAUGCAUUUUAAGUAUCAUACAUCCAAAGUGUAAUAUAAACCAUUAAAUCUAGAACCGCAGAUGCAACGUUACAAUUAAGGUUAUAGUAGGCCUGUGUGUGUGUGUGUGUGUGUGUGUGUGUGUGUGUGUGUGUGUGUGUGUGUGUGUGUGUGUGUGAGACUGGGUAAGUACAUGAGACUUAACAGAUUGUUUUACAGUGUUUAGGCUGUUAUUUGUGUCAAUAUGUCUCAGCAAUGCUGAACAAAUCUGAGCGUGGGAGUGUCGGAGUGCCGCCUCAUGUGGGCUUAGUGUGUGUGUGUGUGUUUGUGUGUGAGAGAGAGAGAGAGUGUGGGAGAGUGAACACGAUGUACCCAGGCACAGUUUUCCUGGGCAGCGUCCAACUGUAGGAGUCUGCUUGCAGCUAUGUGCUUUGGGGACACCUCCUGUCACGUCUGUCCUAAUCUCUGUACUCACUCGAACCUGAUCUGCCCAUGUGACCUCCCCUCACCCCCACUGAUACCCCUCCAACGCCCUUGAUUUCCUGUCUUCUCACCUCUUGCCUCUCCUGCUGCCCUUUCACUCCAAACCUGACCCGAGUUCUUUCAUGCUUCAGCAGCUGCUCCAUGGUUUUUAUACAGCACCAUAAACGCCCCACACACCCCACCUUGCCUUUGCCCUUGUAUUGCGUCCGUUCUCACUUCUCCUCUGAGGGUUUGGUUAUGUAAGGUGAAUGCUGCCUCCUGUGCCAAGCGUGCCGGCUGGCGCCAGUGGCAUAAAGACAAAACAGAACCCCCCCCAAAAUACACACUGACAAACACACACACACACACUCACACACUCAUACACUUAAGCACUACAACAACACAUGCACUGAGAAUUUAAAGUGGUAAUCCUUGAGAUCCUCUCGUUUUUAUUUUGGCAACUAGUCUGGUGCUAAGUGCUUUUGUAACUCUGUGGUCAGGAUCUUUCUGUUGAUGAAGUAAAUAACUACACUUCUUCUUCUAUUUCCAAAAAAAGACGGCCUCUGUGCCAGGCUAUUUCUCCCAGGAGAGACGGGGGAGAGGACUGGGUACGGUGUGGCAGUGUCAGCCUGGCUGCCAGUUUGUCCCGGAGCAGAAGCUCCUCUGGAUUACACUCUUCCCACGAGGAGGAGGGAGGCGGGUCCAACAAGAUAGAGAAACACUGAUACAGAGCGGGGCCAUGUGGUGGAGAGAGUGAGCAGGGGAGAUGAACAAGGGAAUGAGGGAAACGCUGGGAUGAGCGAGGGAAAUCUGGGUUUAAGAGCUUUACCGCGCUUUAACACGAGCAAAUUAUUCUGAGCCUGCAAACAAUGGAGCCAAGAGAGGAAGAGGACUCAGCUGAGAUCAACACCAUGUAGGAAUUAAUGAAGUUCUCUGCCAACACACAGCAGAGAGCUCCACAAUCUGGAGGCUGGAGACACUCUCCCAAUUGUGUUUCCAUAAAACACAAGUGUCUCACACUUCAUUUUCCAAUAAUUACUGCUGCACUGACUUAGACAAUUCGUGUCAGUUUUAGUGAUUUGUCAAGGAAUUGACAAAAGUUGAGAAAAAAACACUUAUGUGCAGAGAACCUCACUUACGUCAAUAUGUACCUAAUGCUUUUUUUUAAAUUUCUAUAUUACACAACUGUGCCUAAUUGUGGUGGAACAAAGACCAGGAUCCUUUACUUAAGUAAAAGUACAGAUACCACAAUGUAAAUUUUAUAAUAAAAUUUAAAAAAUGCUUUCAUCAAUAUUUCUAUAUAAAUGGGUUAUGAAAUGAGCAGUUUCCGGUGACGAAACCACAGAAAAUCUAAUUCUGCAGUUGUUUCUUUAGCAUCUUUUAGCUCAUUGUUUUGGUUUUAAAGUCCACAAACUGUUGUUGUGAACAGCAGGGAUUUGAACUGAAACCUUAAAAUAAAUGGCUUGUACACAACCUGUUCAGCACCUUACUGUCCACAGAAUGUUAGCUACCUGCUGGUGAACAGAUGUGGAGCGUUUAGCAGCCAAAGAGCCAGGUAUUAUUCUCAGGAGUCUAUGGACACAAAUGAACAGUGGUGAAGGAAGUACUCAAACAUUUUGCUUAAGUAAAAGUACACCACAAAAAUUAUAUUCUAAAAAUGUAGUGAUGUAGAAAGUACAGAAAGUUGAGUAAAGUGAAAAGUAACCGAAAAUAAAUACUUAAGUACAGAUACAUAAAAAAUAUGUACUAAGGUGCAGUUACAAAGUAAAUGUACUUAAUUACGUCCCACUGCUGCUGUGUAUCUACUUCUUGUGUAAUUGAGCACCUGUUUGCAAACACUUUUACACAACCAACUAUA